ACACGUAGGGGGCUAACGUUGUUCGGAAUCAUUGGGCGUAAAGGGCGCGCAGGCGGCCGUCCAAGUCCGGGGUUAAAUGGUCGGGCUCAACCCGAUCAUGCGCUGGAAACUAGUCGGCUUUAGUGCCGGAGGAGAUGCCGGAAUUCCAGGGGUAGGGGGGAAAUCUGUAGAUAUCUGGAAGAACACCGAUGGCGAAGGCAGGCAUCUGGCCGGAGACUGACGCUGAGGCGCGAAGGCGCGGGGAGCGAACAGGUUUAGAUACCCUGGUAGUCCGCGCAGUAAACGAUGCGCACCAGGUGUCGGGCGGCAGCGCCCGGUACCGGAGCUAACGCGAUGAGUGCGCCGCCUGGGGAGUAUGCCCGCAAGGGUGAAACUCAAAUGAAUUGACGGGG
Molecule: ribosomal RNA, 392 nt
Filed under: uncultured bacterium
Lineage: Bacteria
Description: partial 16S ribosomal RNA
Rfam family: Bacterial small subunit ribosomal RNA
Source: RNAcentral